Molecule: small nucleolar RNA, 144 nt
Organism: Arvicanthis niloticus (Nile rat)
Lineage: Eukaryota; Metazoa; Chordata; Mammalia; Rodentia; Muridae
Product: small nucleolar RNA SNORA48
Source: RefSeq, a predicted model, not a curated record
AACCCCUGGCAAUGGGCAAAGAACCACCUUGUUGGUGGUUUUGCUCUUAUAUCAGCCAGGAGCAGAGCAGACGGUCAUCCUUUGUUCAUCCUAGUUUCGUGCCUGGUUUGGUGGGCCAGAACUGUUUUAUGCCAGAAAACAUAC